This 27-nucleotide non-coding RNA is filed under the name Rattus norvegicus (Norway rat). The record is from RNAcentral. Lineage: Eukaryota; Metazoa; Chordata; Mammalia; Rodentia; Muridae.
ACACAGGAGUUUCUUUGGGUGUAUGGC